GCCCAGGUGGCGAAAUUGGUAGACGCAGGGGACUCAAAAUCCCCCGCCGAAAGGCGUGUCGGUUCGAGUCCGACCCUGGGCACCA
RNAcentral lists this transfer RNA (85 nucleotides) under Neisseria sp. RNAcentral describes it as "tRNA-Leu(caa)". It matches the Rfam family "tRNA". From Rfam's summary of the family: Transfer RNA (tRNA) molecules are approximately 80 nucleotides in length. Their secondary structure includes four short double-helical elements and three loops (D, anti-codon, and T loops). The record is from RNAcentral. RNAcentral also lists the same sequence under 2 other names. Lineage: Bacteria; Pseudomonadati; Pseudomonadota; Betaproteobacteria; Neisseriales; Neisseriaceae.